This 494-nucleotide ribosomal RNA is filed under the name uncultured bacterium. Its description in RNAcentral is "partial 16S ribosomal RNA". It matches the Rfam family "Bacterial small subunit ribosomal RNA", at positions 28 to 507 of the family's 1533-position model. The record is from RNAcentral.
GACGAACGCUGGCGGCGUGCUUAACACAUGCCAGUCGAACGGAAAGGCCUGCUUUCCCUUGUGGAUUGCGGGUACUCGAGUGGCGAACGGGUGAGUAACACGUGAGUGAUCUGCCCCCAACUUGGGUAUAAGCCUGGGAAACUGGGUCUAAUUCCCGAUAGGACUGCAGGGUGGUGCCUGUGGUGGAAAACGAUUUUCUAGUGGUUGGGGAUGAGCUCGCGGCCUAUCAGCUUGUUGGUGGGGUAAUGGCCUACCAAGGCGGCGACGGGUAGCCGGCCUGGGAGGGUGGACGGCCACAUUGGGACUGAGAUACGGCCCAGACUCCUACGGGAGGCAGCAGUGGGGAAUAUUGCACAAUGGGCGGAAGCCUGAUGCAGCGACGCCGCGUGGGGGAUGACGGCCUUCGGGUGGUAAACUCCUUUCGACCGCGAGGAAGCCACCUGGUUGGAAGGGUGGUGACGGUAGUGGUAGAAGAAGCACCGGCUAACUACGUG